This 206-nucleotide ribosomal RNA is filed under the name uncultured bacterium. RNAcentral's name for it is "partial 16S ribosomal RNA". It matches the Rfam family "Bacterial small subunit ribosomal RNA", at positions 568 to 774 of the family's 1533-position model. The record is from RNAcentral.
CGCGUAGGCGGAAUGGCAAGUCGGUCGUGAAAUCCUUCGGCUCAACCGAAGAACGUCGAUCGAAACUGCCGUUCUUGAGGAUUGCAGAGGAGACUGGAAUUCCCGGUGUAGCGGUGAAAUGUGUAGAGAUCGGGAGGAACACCGGUGGCGAAGGCGGGUCUCUGGGCAAUUCCUGACGCUGAGGCGCGAAAGCGUGGGAGCAAACG